GAUGAACGCUGGCGGCGUGCCUAACACAUGCAAGUCGAGCGGCAGCGAGGGGUGCUUGCACCCUGUCGGCGAGCGGCGGACGGCUGAGUAACGCGUGGGAACGUGCCCCAAAGUGAGGAAUAACUGCCCGAAAGGGUAGCUAAUACCGCAUAUUAUCUUCGGAUCAAAGGAUUUAUCCGCUUUGGGAGCGGCUCGCGUCGGAUUAGGUAGUUGGUGAGGUAAUGGCUCACCUAGCCGACGAUCCGUAGCUGGUCUGAGAGGAUGACCAGCCAGACUGGAACUGAGACACGGUCCAGACUCCGACGGGAGGCAGCAGUGAGGAAUAUUCCACAAUGGGCGAAAGCCUGAUGGAGCAACGCCGCGUGCAGGACGAAGGCCUUCGGGUUGUAAACUGCUUUUAUAAGUGAGGAAUAUGACGGUAACUUAUGAAUAAGGAUCGGCUAACUACGUG
This 451-nucleotide ribosomal RNA is filed under the name uncultured bacterium. RNAcentral's name for it is "partial 16S ribosomal RNA". It matches the Rfam family "Bacterial small subunit ribosomal RNA", at positions 28 to 507 of the family's 1533-position model. The record is from RNAcentral.